Molecule: ribosomal RNA, 484 nt
Filed under: uncultured bacterium
Lineage: Bacteria
Description: partial 16S ribosomal RNA
Rfam family: Bacterial small subunit ribosomal RNA
Source: RNAcentral
AUUGAACGCUGGCGGCAUGCUUUACACAUGCAAGUCGAACGGCAGCGCGGGCUUCGGCCUGGCGGCGAGUGGCGAACGGGUGAGUAAUGCAUCGGAACGUGCCCAGUAGUGGGGGAUAGCCCGGCGAAAGCCGGAUUAAUACCGCAUACGACCUGAGGGUGAAAGCGUGGGACCGAAAGGCCUCGCGCUACUGGAGCGGCCGAUGUCGGAUUAGCUAGUUGGUAGGGUAAAGGCUUAACAAGGCGACGAUCCGUAGCUGGUCUGAGAGGACGACCAGCCACACUGGGACUGAGACACGGCCCAGACUCCUACGGGAGGCAGCAGUGGGGAAUGUUGGACAAUGGGGGCAACCCUGAUCCAGCCAUGCCGCGUGCGGGAAGAAGGCCUUCGGGUUGUAAACCGCUUUUGUUCGGGAAGAAAACCUCUGGGCUAAUACCCCGGGGGGAUGACGGUACCGGAAGAAUAAGCACCGGCUAACUACGUG